CAGGCUGUGACAGGGUGAACCUCAGGGUGAUCCUGCGUCUGGCCCUGCUGAGGCUGGCUGAGGCUCUGCUCUCUGGGCUCAGCAGGACCACCUUCACAUGACGUCCCUCCUGCCCCUCUGUCUCUCAGGCUCGGCUCCUCCGCCAAUGACUGCUGUAGCCGUGGCCCCGCCCUCUGCGCAGACCCCGCCUCCGACACCAAGGACUACAGGAAGCUGUUCGAGAAGCUGUCCCAGGAGAACUCCCAGCUGCAGGCCCAGCUCCAGGACACCCAGCGACUCAUCAGCCAGACCCGCCUGGACCUGGACAAGGCCACUCAGAGACAGGAGCGCUUUGCGGACUGCACUGCUCUCCUGGAGCUGGAGAGAAAGGUGAGGGAGAGGAGACAGGAAAUAGGAGAUACUCCAGUCCACAUGUCAUGUCAGGUCAA
Non-coding RNA from Lepisosteus oculatus (spotted gar), 428 nucleotides. NCBI's taxonomy places the organism in Eukaryota, Metazoa, Chordata, Actinopteri, Semionotiformes, Lepisosteidae. The record is from RefSeq and is a predicted model, not a curated record.